Molecule: ribosomal RNA, 458 nt
Filed under: uncultured bacterium
Lineage: Bacteria
Description: partial 16S ribosomal RNA
Rfam family: Bacterial small subunit ribosomal RNA
Source: RNAcentral
AACGAACGCUGGCGGCAUGCCUAACACAUGCAAGUCGAACGAGACCUUAGGGAAUGGUGGCGCACGGGUGCGUAACGCGUGGGAACGGGGCGGUAGGUUCGGAAUAACUCAGAGAAAUUGGGGCUAAUACCGGAUGAUUUAUUCUGACCAAAGAUUUAUCGCCCGUGUAUGGGCACGCGUUGUAUUAGCUAGUUGGCGGGGUAUAGGCCUACCACGGCGAAGAUCCGUAGCUGGUAUGAGGGGCUGAUCAGCCACAUUGGGAGUGAGACACGGUCCAGACGCUUACGGGAGGCAGCAGUGGGGAAUAUUGGGCAAGGGGCGAAAGCCGGAUCCAGCCAUACCGGGUGAGUGAAGAAGGCCUUCUGGUUGUAAAGCCCUGUUGUUGGGAAAGAAAAGCAGCAGGUUAAUACCCCGCUGUUCUGACGGUACCCAAAGAAUAAGCACCGGCUAACUUCGUG